Pseudomonas putida is the source of this 117-nucleotide non-coding RNA. The record is from Rfam. NCBI's taxonomy places the organism in Bacteria, Pseudomonadati, Pseudomonadota, Gammaproteobacteria, Pseudomonadales, Pseudomonadaceae.
GUAUGGGUCACCGCAAGGUUUCUGGGCAUUUCGCACCAGACAAACACGAGCGUGGCCCGCCCCCGCGAGCCACCACCGGCAACGCCGGAAGCAACCACCCGCCGGUCAUGGACCGGC